Molecule: ribosomal RNA, 406 nt
Filed under: uncultured bacterium
Lineage: Bacteria
Description: partial 16S ribosomal RNA
Rfam family: Bacterial small subunit ribosomal RNA
Source: RNAcentral
AUUGAACGCUGGCGGCAGGCCUAACACAUGCAAGUCGAACGAGUGGCGGACGGGUGAGUAAUGUCUGGGAAACUGCCUGAUGGAGGGGGAUAACUACUGGAAACGGUAGCUAAUACCGCAUACCAUCGGAUGUGCCCAGAUGGGAUUGGCUAGUGGGGGGGUGAAAGGCUCACAUAGGCGACGAUCCCUAGCUGGUCUGAGGGGGUGACCAGCCACACUGGAACUGAGACACGGCCCAAACUCCUACGGGAGGCAGAAGUGGGGAAUAUUGCACAAUGGGCGAAAUCCGGAUGCAGCCAGGCCGCGUGUAUGAAGAAGGCCUUCGGGUUGUAAAGUCCUUUCAGCGGGGAGGCGUUACCCGCAGAAGAAGCACCGGCUAACUCCGUGCCAGCCGCCGCGGUAAUAC